Molecule: transfer RNA, 67 nt
Filed under: Chloronia mexicana
Lineage: Eukaryota; Metazoa; Arthropoda; Insecta; Megaloptera; Corydalidae
Description: tRNA-Ile
Source: RNAcentral
AAUGAAGUGCCUGAGCAAAGGAAUAUCUUGAUAGGGUAAAUAAUGUGGUACUUUAUCACCUUCAUUA